AAGCCUAGAUAAAGGAGGAGAGUUAUAGUAGGUUGAUGGCUAGCAUAAAAUUCAGUCAUUUCUCAUGAUAUGGAUACCAAAAAGUUCCCUUUUCUAGAUAAUUGCAAGCUAGUCAUCUCUCAUGAUUUGCCACACUGCUAGGGAGAACUUUUACUCUGCUCUUCAAUUAAUCUAUUGAUAUCCUCUAAAAUGUCUUUGCCAAUAUGUUAUUCUUUACUACUAAUUACAAGCAGAUAUCCUUAAUAUCUUGAUUAUUCUUCACAAGAUACUACUUGGUUAAUAUAAAAAAGAAACAGCCAAAGAUAAGAUGAAAAUGUCUAUCGUUUGGUGGGAAGAAAAGGUUCAAAAGAAAAGUUUUACGAAAUGUAGGCAGCGAGAGAUCAUCUCAAUCAUGAAGGAGGGUGAUAAGGGGAAAAAAGUAUUUGAUACUACCAUAUGUUUUUACAGAUAAACACUGAGCGAUAUAUGCAUGCCUAGAAGGUUAAACAAUUUCUGUGACGAAUAAAAGGUUUCUAAGAGUCUGCAGUCAAGGUAAACUUUUCCAGUUUACUAACACACGCAAUUGAACUAUAACAGAAGAAAAAACGUUAAAGAUUGGGCUUAGAAAAUUUAACGAGUUCUAUGAAAGCAAGUUCUUUGUUUGAACAAGCCAAUUGGGCACAAUUCAUUACCAGGAUAACAGGAGCCCCAAGGCAUGACCAUCAGCAAGUAAGAAUUUAUUAGCAUCAGAAAUUUACAGAUGAAAAUAAUUAGGCAUGCUUGCUUAAUGUUUACCCUAUUUUUCACCUAAAUUUUGUGCACGUGAAGCGAUAAAAAAAAGAAAAAAGGCUGAUAUCUACAUCCAAAUUGGAGACCGAUGAAUGCGAACAUCACAUAUUCCUGUCGCAAUUGACAUUUUAUCAAUCACCUUACAUGCAUAACAGAAUAUAAUUUGGCAAGUUACCUUGAUCGUGAAAUUGAGAGCGA
Molecule: unclassified non-coding RNA, 966 nt
Filed under: Hevea brasiliensis (rubber tree)
Lineage: Eukaryota; Viridiplantae; Streptophyta; Magnoliopsida; Malpighiales; Euphorbiaceae
Source: RNAcentral